RNAcentral lists this ribosomal RNA (574 nucleotides) under uncultured bacterium. RNAcentral describes it as "bacterial SSU rRNA". It matches the Rfam family "Bacterial small subunit ribosomal RNA", at positions 100 to 674 of the family's 1533-position model. The record is from RNAcentral.
GCGGGUGAGUAACGCGUAAGAAUCUGCCCUUCAGUGAGGAAUACCCUCGAGAAAUCGAGUUUAAUACUGCAUAAUUCCCUCCGGGGAUAAAGGUGGCUUUAAUGCUGCCGCUGAAGGAUGAGCUUGCGUACUAUUAGCUAGUUGGUAGGGUAAAGGCCUACCAAGGCGAUGAUGGUUAGCCGGCCUGAGAGGGUGUACGGCCACACUGGAACUUAGACACGGUCCAGACUCCUACGGGAGGCAGCAGUGAGGAAUAUUGCGCAAUGGGCGAAAGCCUGACGCAGCGACGCCGCGUGGAGGAUGAAGGUCUUCGGAUUGUAAACUCCUGUUAAGUGGGAAGAAAUACCUUCUUUUAAUAGAAGAAGGGGAUGACGGUACCAUUAUAGAAAGCACCGGCUAAACUCGUGCCAGCAGCCGCGGUAAUACGAGUGGUGCAAGCGUUAUUCGGAAUUACUGGGCGUAAAGGGUGUGUAGGUGGUAUAUUAAGUCAGCUGUUAAAUCCUCCGGCCUAACCGGAGUCCAGCAGCAGAUACUGAUAUGCUUGAGACUGGAAGAGAGAAGUGGAAUUCUCGGA